Molecule: ribosomal RNA, 327 nt
Filed under: uncultured bacterium
Lineage: Bacteria
Description: bacterial SSU rRNA
Rfam family: Bacterial small subunit ribosomal RNA
Source: RNAcentral
AGCGACAGAAGAAGCACCGGCUAACUCCGUGCCAGCAGCCGCGGUAAUACGGAGGGUGCGAGCGUUAAUCGGAAUUACUGGGCGUAAAGCGCAUGCAGGUGGUUAGUUAAGUCAGAUGUGAAAGCCCGGGGCUCAACCUCGGAAUUGCAUUUGAAACUGGACUGACUAGAGUACUGGUAGAGGGGGUUAGAAUUUCAGGUGUAGACGGUGAAAUGCGUAGAGAUCUGAAGGGAAUACCGGUGGGCGAACGGCGGCCCCCCUGGACAGAUACUGACACUCAGAUAGCGAAAGGCGUGGGGAAGCAAACAGGAUUAGAUACCCUGGUAG